AGCUUUCUACAUCCUGGCUGAGAUUUCGUCAGGAACCAACCAGUUAGCAUUAAUGAGGCUCACAAGAUAAGUGUAGUG
RNAcentral lists this microRNA precursor (78 nucleotides) under Schistosoma margrebowiei. RNAcentral describes it as "mir-3492 microRNA precursor family". It matches the Rfam family "mir-3492 microRNA precursor family". Lineage: Eukaryota; Metazoa; Platyhelminthes; Trematoda; Strigeidida; Schistosomatidae. The record is from Rfam by way of RNAcentral.